AAAAGUCCAAUUGAGUUCCUGGA
RNAcentral lists this non-coding RNA (23 nucleotides) under Cricetulus griseus (Chinese hamster). Lineage: Eukaryota; Metazoa; Chordata; Mammalia; Rodentia; Cricetidae. The record is from RNAcentral.